This 404-nucleotide ribosomal RNA is filed under the name Verrucomicrobiota bacterium. RNAcentral's name for it is "Verrucomicrobia bacterium partial 16S ribosomal RNA". It matches the Rfam family "Bacterial small subunit ribosomal RNA", at positions 355 to 776 of the family's 1533-position model. The record is from RNAcentral. Lineage: Bacteria; Pseudomonadati; Verrucomicrobiota.
UGGGGAAUAUUGCACAAUGGGCGCAAGCCUGAUCCAGCCAUGCCGCGUGAGUGAUGAAGGCCCUAGGGUUGUAAAGCUCUUUCACCGGUGAAGAUAAUGACGGUAACCGGAGAAGAAGCCCCGGCUAACUUCGUGCCAGCAGCCGCGGUAAUACGAAGGGGGCUAGCGUUGUUCGGAUUUACUGGGCGUAAAGCGCACGUAGGCGGACUAUUAAGUCAGGGGUGAAAUCCCGGGGCUCAACCCCGGAACUGCCUUUGAUACUGGUAGUCUUGAGUUCGAGAGAGGUGAGUGGAAUUCCGAGUGUAGAGGUGAAAUUCGUAGAUAUUCGGAGGAACACCAGUGGCGAACGCGGCUCACUGGCUCGAUACUGACGCUGAGGUGCGAAAGCGUGGGGAGCAAACAGG